This is a long non-coding RNA of Erinaceus europaeus (western European hedgehog), 454 nucleotides long. RefSeq lists it as uncharacterized. The record is from RefSeq and is a predicted model, not a curated record. Lineage: Eukaryota; Metazoa; Chordata; Mammalia; Eulipotyphla; Erinaceidae. The transcript has 3 exons.
UAAAGUAGUGGGGUUUCUAUAUAAGCUGUCCCCUGGUGGUCAGAUUUAAGUUGUGAAACUUAUAAAUGUCUUUCUAACUGCAGCUUGUUGUCACACAAUGUGUUUUUUUCUUCCCCCUUGAAGGAGGACAUUCUAUGAGUUUCUGUCUCCUGGAUGCUGACCUUUUCCCUUUGCUGUGGAAGCUUGCUUGGGAUUCAGUUUCUCAUUCACAGGUCCUGUUUGGACCCGUGCUGAGCAGUUAAACCCCUCUCAUCUGUGAACUCCUCACAAGAACAGGAGCUGAAGCAUGGAUUUCAGUAGUCCAACACCCUGGAUAUGCCACAAUUGCCACCCAGGAGCCACUUGAACCUGGGGACACCUCUGCUAUAUAAAUUUCCCCUAAGGAGCAUCACAUUUUACAGUGAGAGACUGGGAGUCUUUUGAAUUAAGAAGAAUAGUAGAAGAAGAAAAUGUG